UACGGAGGGUGCGAGCGUUGUUCGGAAUCACUGGGCGUAAGGCGCGUGUAGGCGGCCUGUUAAGUCUGAUGUGAAAGCCCGGGGCUCACCCCCGGAAGUGCAUUGGAAACUGACAGGCUCGAGUCCCGGAGAGGAGAGUAGAAUUCCUGGUGUAGCGGUGAAAUGCGUAGAUAUCAGGAGGAAUACCGGUGGCGAAGGCGGCUCUCUGGACGGUGACUGACGCUGAGACGCGAAAGCGUGGGGAGCAAAC
This 250-nucleotide ribosomal RNA is filed under the name uncultured bacterium. RNAcentral's name for it is "partial 16S ribosomal RNA". It matches the Rfam family "Bacterial small subunit ribosomal RNA", at positions 524 to 773 of the family's 1533-position model. The record is from RNAcentral.